RNAcentral lists this ribosomal RNA (89 nucleotides) under Promicromonospora citrea. The record is from RNAcentral. Lineage: Bacteria; Bacillati; Actinomycetota; Actinomycetes; Micrococcales; Promicromonosporaceae.
CCGGUCCCAUUCCGAACCCGGAAGCUCAGCCCUACAGCGCCGAUGGUACUGCCCUGGAGACGGGGUGGGAGAGUAGGACGCCGCCGGAC